GGGGACGACAUGGCUUCGACGGGGGUUGCGAAGCGGAUGAGGGCAUGCCGGGAUCUCAGCACCCCGUUAAACGCUGAAUCGAUUUAGUCGCAAACGACGAAUCCUACGCUCUGGCUGCUUAAUCCCAGCCGGACGCUGCACUGAUCUGCUCAUGGGUCAGGCCGGGCAACCGGCAGCAGCGUUAUAUACAUGAGAUCGCAGUACGGCGGGCUACUUGUCGUACUGUCAAAUCUAGGUAGCUCGCGGAUGCCAAGCCUGUCGGUCGGCGUGUCACCCGUUAAAUCCAGUUGGCCAGACUAAGCAUGUAGAACUUGCCGUAGAGGGCUUUCGGACGCGGGUUCAAUUCCCGCCGUCUCCACCA
RNAcentral lists this transfer-messenger RNA (361 nucleotides) under Chitinimonas viridis. It matches the Rfam family "transfer-messenger RNA". Rfam says of the family: Bacterial tmRNA, also known as 10Sa RNA or SsrA, is named for its dual tRNA and mRNA-like properties. Its role is to liberate the mRNA from a stalled ribosome. The record is from RNAcentral. Lineage: Bacteria; Pseudomonadati; Pseudomonadota; Betaproteobacteria; Neisseriales; Chitinibacteraceae.